CACGUAGGGUGCGAGCGUUGUCCGGUAUUAUUGGGUGUAAAGAGCUCGUAGGCGGUGUGUCGCGUCGGCCGUGAAAACCUGCAGCUUAACUGUGGGCUUGCGGUCGAUACGGGCAUCACUGGAGUUCGGCAGGGGAGACUGGAAUUCCUGGUGUAGCGGUGAAAUGCGCAGAUAUCAGGAGGAACACCGGUGGCGAAGGCGGGUCUCUGGGCCGAUACUGACGCUGAGGAGCGAAAGCGUGGGGAGCGAACAGG
Molecule: ribosomal RNA, 254 nt
Filed under: uncultured bacterium
Lineage: Bacteria
Description: partial 16S ribosomal RNA
Rfam family: Bacterial small subunit ribosomal RNA
Source: RNAcentral